Molecule: ribosomal RNA, 441 nt
Filed under: uncultured bacterium
Lineage: Bacteria
Description: partial 16S ribosomal RNA
Rfam family: Bacterial small subunit ribosomal RNA
Source: RNAcentral
CCUACGUGCGGCAGCAGUGGGGGAUAUUGCACAAUGGGGGGAACCCUGAUGCAGCGACGCCGCGUGGGUGAAGGAGUGCUUCGGCAUGUAAAGCCCUAUCAGCAGGGAAGAAGCAAGACGGUACCUGACUACAAAGCCCCGGCUAACUACGUACCAGCAGCCGCGGCAAUACGUAGGGGGCGAGCGUUAUCCGAAGUAACUGGGUGAAAAGGGAUCGUAGACGGCCAUGCAAGCCAGGGGUGAAAGCCCGGGGCGCAACCCCGGGACUGCCCUUGGAACUGCAUGGCGGGAGUGCGGGAGGGGCAGGCGGAAUUCCUGGGGUAGCGGGGAAAUGCGUAGAGAUCAGGAGGAACACCGGCGGCGAAGGCGGCCUGCUGGACCGCGACUGACGUUGAGGCUCGAAAGCGUGGGGAGCGAACAGGAUUAGAUACCCUUGUAGUC